CCUACGGUAGGCAGCAGUGGGGAAUAUUGGACAAUGGGGGGAACCCUGAUCCAGCGACGCCGCGUGAGUGAAGAAGUAUUUCGGUAUGUAAAGCUCUAUCAGCAGGGAAGAAAGACAUGACGGUACCUGACUAAGAAGCCCCGGCUAACUACGUGCCAGCAGCCGCGGUAAUACGUAGGGGGCAAGCGUUAUCCGGAUUUACUGGGUGUAAAGGGAGCGUAGACGGCGAUGCAAGUCUGAAGUGAAAGGCGGGGGCCCAACCUCCGGAUUGCUUUGGAAACUGUAUGGCUGGAGUGCAGGAGAGGUAAGUGGAAUUCCUAGUGUAGCGGUGAAAUGCGUAGAUAUUAGGAGGAACACCAGUGGCGAAGGCGGCUUACUGGACUGUAACUGACGUUGAGGCUCGAAAGCGUGGGGAGCAAACAGGAUUAGAUACCCGGGUAGUC
Molecule: ribosomal RNA, 443 nt
Filed under: uncultured bacterium
Lineage: Bacteria
Description: partial 16S ribosomal RNA
Rfam family: Bacterial small subunit ribosomal RNA
Source: RNAcentral